This is a ribosomal RNA of Oppia nitens, 1829 nucleotides long. Lineage: Eukaryota; Metazoa; Arthropoda; Arachnida; Sarcoptiformes; Oppiidae. The record is from RefSeq and is a predicted model, not a curated record.
UACCUGGUUGAUUCUGCCAGUAGUCAUAUGCUUGUCUCAAAAAUUAAGCCAUGCAUGUCUAAGUACAUGCCGUAUUAAGGCGAAACCGCGAAUGGCUCAUUAAAUCAGUUACGGUUCCUUAGAUAUUGACUGUCUACAUGGAUAACUGUGGUAAUUCUAGAGCUAAUACAUGCCCAAAAACUUCGACCGGAGACGGGAGAAGUGCAUUUAUUAGACCAAGACCAAUGGGGUUCCCUUGUGGGGCUCCUAACGGUGGUGACUCUGGAUAACUGUUGCUAAUCGUAUGGCCUUAGUGCCGGCGAUGAAUCUUUCAAGUGUCUGCCUUAUCAACUGUCGAUGGUAGGUUAUGCGCCUACCAUGGUUGUAACGGGUAACGGGGAAUCAGGGUUCGGUUCCGGAGAGCGAGCCUGAGAAACGGCUAGCACAUCCAAGGAAGGCAGCAGGCGUGCAAAUUACCCAAUCCCAGAACGGGGAGGUAGUGACGAAAAAUAACAAUACGAGACUCUUAUGAGGCCUCGUAAUUGGAAUGAGAACAAUGUAAAACUCUUAACGAGGAUCUAUUGGAGGGCAAGUCUGGUGCCAGCAGCCGCGGUAAUUCCAGCUCCAAUAGCGUAUAUUAAAGUUGUUGUGGUUAAAAAGCUCGUAGUUGGAUCUCAGUUCCUAGUCAGACGGUCCACUUGCCAGUGGCUACUGUUUGGCUGAACACUUUACCGACCUUGUCCUAUGGUGCUCUUCACCGAGUGUCAUAGGCGAUCGGUACGUUUACUUUGAAAAAAUUAGAGUGCUCAAAGCAGGCGUCAGUGCCCGAAUAAUGUUGCAUGGAAUAAUGGAAUAGGACCUCGGUUCUAUUUUGUUGGUCUUCGGAGCAUGAGGUAAUGAUCAAUAGGGACAGACGGGGACAUUCGUAUUGCGGAGCUAGAGGUGAAAUUCUUGGACCUUCGCAAGACGAACUAAAGCGAAAGCAUUUGUCAAGAAUGUUUUCAUUAAUCAAGAACGAAAGUUAGAGGUUCGAAGGCGAUCAGAUACCGCCCUAGUUCUAACCAUAAACGAUGCCGACCAGUAAUUCGCCUGAGUUCUCUAAAUGACUCGGCGAGGGACUUCCGGGAAACCAAAGUCUUUCGGUUCCAGGGGAAGUAUGGUUGCAAAGCUGAAACUUAAAGAAAUUGACGGAAGGGCACCACCAGGAGUGGAGCCUGCGGCUUAAUUUGACUCAACACGGGAAAACUCACCCGGCCCGGACACUGGAAGGAUUGACAGAUUGAGAGCUCUUUCUUGAUUCAGUGGGUGGUGGUGCAUGGCCGUUCUUAGUUGGUGGAGUGAUUUGUCUGGUUAAUUCCGAUAACGAACGAGACUCUAGCCUACUAAAUAGAUUGCCGACUUAUAACGUCGACAACACUUCUUAGAGGGACAGGCGGUGUUUCAACCGCACGAAACAGAGCAAUAACAGGUCUGUGAUGCCCUUAGAUGUCCGGGGCCGCACGCGCGCUACACUGAAGUGAUCAGCGUGCAUUCAAAAACCUACUCUGUCAAGAGUGGGGAACCCAAUGAACCUUCUUCGUGAUUGGGAUAGGGGAUUGUAAUUAUUCCCCUUGAACGAGGAAUUCCCAGUAAGCGCGAGUCAUUAGCUCGCGUUGAUUACGUCCCUGCCCUUUGUACACACCGCCCGUCGCUACUACCGAUUGAAUGUUUUAGUGAGGUCUUCGGACUGGCCGGUGCAGCUGCUCUUGUAGUGGCAGCGCUGUGCUCGGAAAGAUGCCCAAACUUGAACAUUUAGAGGAAGUAAAAGUCGUAACAAGGUUUCCGUAGGUGAACCUGCGGAAGGAUCAUUA